RNAcentral lists this microRNA (23 nucleotides) under Limulus polyphemus (Atlantic horseshoe crab). Its description in RNAcentral is "Lpo-Mir-10-P4j_3p (mature (guide))". The record is from RNAcentral. Lineage: Eukaryota; Metazoa; Arthropoda; Merostomata; Xiphosura; Limulidae.
GAAGCUCGUUUUUACAGGUAUCU